Molecule: RNA transcript, 2765 nt
Organism: Cyprinodon variegatus (sheepshead minnow)
Lineage: Eukaryota; Metazoa; Chordata; Actinopteri; Cyprinodontiformes; Cyprinodontidae
Gene: mppe1
Gene name: metallophosphoesterase 1
Exons: 10
Source: RefSeq, a predicted model, not a curated record
UGCCCGCUGCGGUCUCCCUCACUGAGCGGUGGCCCUACUCAACUUCCACUCACCUCCUUCUCUGUCUGGCCCCACCGAACCCCACCGAACCCCACAAAACCAGAUUUUUAUUUAGUUAUUUUUUUCAGAUACUGCUUGGUCUUUUUUUAACCAGAGCAUCCUUCUUGGGCAUCCUAAAACAAACCCCGCGGGUCUGCGGGAGGAAAGCGGGGCUGAGCUGAAGAGAUGCCUCACGGGCGGCUCGGUUCAGGGCAUCCCGAGCACCGAUCCGCGGAGAAAUGCUGAAGUUCAGCGGCAGCUCGGUGGUCGCGGCGCUGCUUCUCUCGGUGGUCUGCGGCUCUUUUUUCUUCUGCGAGUAUCUCAUCUACUUCCCGACCAUCCUGAAGUGCGCCUGGCCGCAGCUGAGCCAUGCCCGGGGCGGGGAGGGCGCAGAGCCGGCGCUCCGCGCCAUGGUGCUGUCAGACACCCAUCUCCUCGGAGCUGUGGGGGGCCACUGGUUCGACAAGCUCAGGAGGGAAUGGCAGAUGGAGAGGGCUUUCCAGACCGCGCUUUGGCUCCUAAAGCCCGAAAUAGUCUUUAUUCUCGGGGAUAUCUUCGACGAAGGCAAGUGGAGCUCCCAGAAGCACUGGGAAGAUGACGUGCGCCGCUUCCACAGGAUGUUCAGACACUCCACUGACACAGAACUGGUCGUGCUGGUCGGCAAUCACGACAUUGGUUUCCAUUAUGAGAUGGACUGGUUCAAGCUGCAGCGCUUUGAAAAGGUCUUCAACGCCUCCUCCACAAGGAUUGUUACCAAAAAGGGAGUCAACUUCCUGCUGGUGAACAGCGUGGCCCUGCACGGUGACGGCUGUCCCAUCUGCCAGUCAGUGGAAAAAGACCUGAUCAAACUCUCCAAGGACCUCAACUGCUCGCUUCAGAAGUCGCAGUCUGACAGCAAAGAGACAGAGAAAUGUGGGGGCUCACAGACGUAUCCCCCCACCGCCCCCAUCAUGCUGCAGCAUUACCCUCUGUACAGAGUGAGUGACGCCAGCUGCACAGGGGAGGAUGCAGCACCGCCGGAGGAGCGACACCUGCUGUUCAGAGAGAAGUAUGACGUGCUGUCCAAAGAGGCUUCUCAGCGGCUUCUGCAGUGGUUUAAGCCCCGGCUCAUCCUGAGCGGACACACCCACAGCGGAUGUGAGGUUCUCCAUGACAACAAGUACCCAGAAAUCAGCGUGCCGUCUUUCAGCUGGAGGAACAGGAAUAACCCCAGCUUCAUCCUGGUGAGUGGGAGAACAGAAAGCCUCUGCAGGAUUACUCACAUCAUACAUAUUUUUUUCCUAACUUAACAGCUUCUAAGUCUAAAUAUGGCAUUGCGUACUAAACUUUUGUAAAACUGUAUUAAAAGAAGAAAAAAAAUCCAAUGUCUACUGCUUCAUUCUUCUAUGGCAGAUUUUUUUCACCAACCAUUGAAGGGAUAUUGCUAGAAGUGAAAGGAAAUGCUACAUGGAUGUGAAAUGUUCAACAAGUAGAAAUCUGACAUUUGCUGCAUGCAUUUGUAUCCAGCCUGUCUGCUUCAAUCAAUACUUUGUAGAGGCAACUCCUGCUGUGGCAUCUACUACCUUCCAACAUCUAGAGAGUAAAUUGCCGACCACUCCUGUGUGAAACACCUCUAGCACAGUCAGAUUGGAUGGAGAGCAUCAGCAGACAUAAAUUUUUAAGUUUUGCCAUGGAUGCUUAACUGGAUUUAGAUGUGAACUUUGACUGGGCCAUUCUAACUCAUGAAAUGUGCUUGAUCUGAACCAUUCCAUUGUACCUGUGGCUGUAUGUUUAGGGUCGUCGUGCUGCUGGACGGUGAGCCCUUCGCCCCAGUCUUUUCCAGCCUCUAUCCAAGUUUCUUCCAGGAAUGUCCUGUAUUUAGUUCCAUCCAUCUUCCCAUCAGCUCUGCCCAGCUUUCCUGUCCCCGCAGAAGAAAAGCUUCCUCACAGCAUGAUGCUGCCACCACCAUGUUUUACGGCGUCGGUGUCCUCAAGCGGUUAUUCCCUCUCCAAAUGUUUCCUGCCGGAGGAGAGCACGGUGAUCGGGGUCUACUGCUCGGCCGGCGCCUGCCUGCUGCUGCUCAUCCUGGCUCACUGCCUGUGGAUGAAGGGGCUGCUGCAGCUUAGCCUCUGCCUGCUGGGGAAGCACAAGUCUCUGUAAACCACGUCACCCAGAGUGCAACUUGUCUGUUAGUGGAGCUGAUCUCUGACUGGGCUGUGGAUCUGUCCACACAUCCUCAGUUGGAUUGUUGCAGUGAACACAAAGCUGUAAAUAUAUUUAAAAUGUGUAAAUCAGUGCUGGCAUUGAUGAUGAAGGUGAUGAUGAUGUUAUUUGAAAUUGAGAUAUUUAUGGACAGGAUGUCUUGGUAAAGCUGCUCCCUCUGCAUUGGGUUGUUGGGGUUAAAGGAGAGGUGUAAAUACUUUGGUGGUGAGUUAAAGGUGCUUUCUGUGAAACAAGUCAUUUCUUAAACUUUGUUUUUUUUUUUUUUAUCUUUCCUCGAUGUCUAUCUGUCUCAGCUGCUCAUUGUUUUUCAAAUCUAUACCAAGUUAUACUAUUUAAUUCAUGACUCUUUGUGCCAAAUUGUUGACCGUUUACAAUGAGAUGUUCUUAAUAAAGAGUUUUCUGGUGAAAAAAAAUGUUCAACAAGCAAUUGAACAAAAUAUAGUUCUUUCUGAUACAAAUCAACCUAAAAAACAACCAAUGAAUUAGUUGGAAAUGGUUCACCCAAACCAUCUACAAUAACCUUU